GAGGCAGCAAUGAGGAAUGUUGCGCAAUGGAGGCAACUCUGACGCAGCCAUGCCGCGUGCAGGAAGACGGCCUUACGCGUUGUAAACUGCUUUUAUUGGGGAAGAAACCCCAAGACGUGUCCUGGGUAGACGGUACCGAUAGAAUAAGCACCGGAUAACUUCGUGCCAGCAGCCGUGAUAAUGCGAAGGGUGCAAGCGUUAUCCGGAUUCAUUGGGUUUAAAGGGUGCGUAGGCGGAACAAUAAGUCAGUGGUGAAAUCACGCAGCUCAACUGUAGACUUGCCAUUGAUACUGGCGUUCUGGAGUGCGGAUGAAGUAGGCGGAAUGUGCCGUGUAGCGGUGAAAUGCUUAGAUAUGGCACAGAACACCAAUUGCGAAGGCAGCUUACUAAGGCGAUACUGACGCUGAGGCACGAAAGCGUGGGGAUCGAACAGGAUUAGAUACCUGGUAGUCCACCCCGUAAACGAUGAUCACUCGUGAUUGGCGAUAUACGGUCAGUCACCUAGCGAAAGCGUUAAGUGAUCCACCUGGGGAGUACGGCCGCAAGGCUGAAACUCAAAGGAAUU
Molecule: ribosomal RNA, 565 nt
Filed under: uncultured bacterium
Lineage: Bacteria
Description: bacterial SSU rRNA
Rfam family: Bacterial small subunit ribosomal RNA
Source: RNAcentral